RNAcentral lists this long non-coding RNA (698 nucleotides) under Malus domestica (apple). RNAcentral describes it as "long non-coding RNA (MDOM_LNC012584)". Lineage: Eukaryota; Viridiplantae; Streptophyta; Magnoliopsida; Rosales; Rosaceae. The record is from RNAcentral.
ACACUCGAACAUUCAUCACAUAACUCGUUAUGUCCCAACAAUAUACCACAAUGCAUAUCAUGCAAUAUUUCAAAGAACAAACGACGAAGCACAAUCAUACUCUCUAGCCAUAUUUAUCGACAAGUCUAAUCAUAACAAUAACAAUGAUAUCCAACAAAAGCCAUAAUUCAGUUCUCAUCCAAGUGAUCCAAUGAUGUACGCAUUCAACAAGAGUAAUCAACCAUGAGAUAAAUAAUAUAACAUUCCAUGAUGUUAAAUAUAAUCAAUCUCCAUAACAGUAUGUCAUAUUUCCCCUACCUGGAUUCCUAAGCAUUGUUCUUAGUUACUAAUACCCAUCGUGGCCAAAUUCUGUUUCACAAAUGUAAGAUAUUACUAAAUGCAUGACAUGAAUUUUAAUCCUAGUUAAAGUACUUCGAAUUACUAUUGUAACAGUAUCCAAAUUCAAUGCCCUUUUGGUUGAUCUAAAAUAAAUCAUUGUAAAUACACAUGAAUAGGAAUAAUUCUGGACCAUUAGUAAUGAUGUGUUUCAGUAGGUAUAAAAAUGCACCAACAACAAUAAAAUGCACCAAAACAAUAAAAUAAUUGAGCUUAUAAUUAUAUCAUAGCUUUACUUAAAUUUAUCUUAUCAGCCAAGGGAUGGAAUCAUAUAGUGCACACCUAUAUAAUAUACAUUGUUUCUGACUUUAAAGAAAUACUUU